AUACUCUUCACUUUCUCCCCUUCGCUCGACGGAAAAUGAGUCAGGGAAUGUCUGGUGCUCUUCUUCUUCUUGCUUUUGUUAUGGUUGCAACCAGCAAAUGGCGCGUGGUGGCGGAGCUGCACCAUGUCGUUGGUGGUGAUCGUGGCUGGGAUCCCAAUUCUGACCUCCUUUCAUGGUCUAAUCACAGGGUCUUUAGGGUCGGAGACCAAAUCUGGUUCACAUACUCAGUGGCACAGGGACUAAUAGCUGAAGUGGAAAGCAGAGAAGAAUAUGAAGCAUGUGAUGUGAGGAACCCUAUCAAGAUGUACAACGAGGGAUUCCAUAUCGGUGAGUUAUAGCAUGCACCGGUCCAAUUGAAGAAAAUGAUGUACCGUAUUUUUUCUAUAUCGAUGUCCAAUUUGAGAGAGUGCCACGCGUAGAUGAGGUACGGUGGCAUUGUAUGUGUCUGGUGCAAUGUUCACCGGUGAAGGGAGGGAGGGAUUAAUGGGUGGAUUUUGUAUUUGGCCUCCAUUGAGGGAUGGUUUGUAACUGGAAAAAAAUUAUGGGGUGGAACUGAAAUCGGUUUUUUAGUGGGCUGGUGAAGUUGUUUGGUCCAGUUAUGGCCUAUAUUAUGUUAAAAUUUGUGGGCUUCAUUUUUUUUAUUUCGAAAAAAAAAUAAAUUUCAAGGGAACGGGAACAAAAAUUCCAAGGAGGAAUUGAACUUCAUAAAUUUGAUGAAACGUUAAUAAUCAUGUGUGACCACAAAAAAGAAAAGAAAAAGGUUUACAACCAAGCACCUAAUUUCGAAUGGACAAUAAAUGUUUGGGAGUUUAUAUAUAGGCACAUGGAGUUCACAUUCCAACACUUCAGUCUGAAGGAUAGGAGAGAUGGAGGAGAAAAUGCAAUGCUUCUUGUUCAUUACCGUUACGAAGGGGCACAAGCCCGGUGUAUACACGAGUUGGGAGGAGGCGAACCAGCAAGUUGUGGAUUUUAUGGUUCCUGAGUUUCACGGAUUCAAUAGUAUUGAACACGCUUGCUCAUGCUUCAAAGCGAGGAUGUCGUCCAUUUGUGCUGAGAAAGGUGGUUGUGGUAAGACUGUUAGAGUGAGGGCGGAUGGAGGUGGAGGCAAGAAAUUGGCUAUCUCCGGCAGAGGCUAUCCUUGCCGGCCAGUUGUUUCAUGGCUUCCUGUAAUUCCGGUCGAGGAGCUUAACGAGAUUUCGCAGUUGUGAGCAGCAUGGAGGAGUGAUUGCUGAAAGUUUGUCUGGAGGCAGAGAUCCCUUGCCCUUGUUUCUUCAAGAUGGAACGAUUUGUCGGAGAGCAAAGCCCGUUCUUUGGCUUCACGGUUGUUAUUUCUGGGCAUCCAUUUGAGAUAGAGCUAUUUGUCACUGGUCGUUUCUCGAUGGUUGAAAAAGCUGCAAGAGAAGAUGCUGCUUAUGAGAUGCUAUGCGUGUUGCUUGAUGUAACUGGAAAAGAGAUUCAGGAUUAUAACUACAGAAAGGCGAAGCUUCUUGGUGACUCAAAUAACGUGCUUCGAGCUAGGGUAGGUCAACUGGAAGAAUCUUACGAGAAGCUGAAGGCCAGUUACGAUUCUCUUGUAAGACGCCAUGUCGAAGGAGAAAGAGUUUGAUGUGUGUGUUCUGAAUGUGUCGUUUGUGUUUGGUUAUGUUGUAAUUGUUCAGUUAUUGUUGUGUGUCUUUUACUUUCGGUGAUUAAAGCGCAAAGUAGUAUGUAAUAUGUUUUAGUUUGUUGUUGAAUGGCAAGGUUUAGUAGAUAAUGUGGGAAAAUUUGUGUUAAUUACUGAUGAUCAUGUUAUGAUUAAUGAUGUUACCUUAUAAUACAACGAAGUACGAUUCGGGUGGA
Non-coding RNA from Arachis ipaensis, 1839 nucleotides. NCBI's taxonomy places the organism in Eukaryota, Viridiplantae, Streptophyta, Magnoliopsida, Fabales, Fabaceae. The record is from RefSeq and is a predicted model, not a curated record.